AUAAUGGGUCAGCGACUUAUAUUCUGUAGCAAGGUUAACCGAAUAGGGGAGCCGAAGGGAAACCGAGUCUUAACUGGGCGUUAAGUUGCAGGGUAUAGACCCGAAACCCGGUGAUCUAGCCAUGGGCAGGUUGAAGGUUGGGUAACACUAACUGGAGGACCGAACCGACUAAUGUUGAAAAAUUAGCGGAUGACUUGUGGCUGGGGGUGAAAGGCCAAUCAAACCGGGAGAUAGCUGGUUCUCCCCGAAAGCUAUUUAGGUAGCGCCUCGUGAAUUCAUCUCCGGGGGUAGAGCACUGUUUCGGCAAGGGGGUCAUCCCGACUUACCAACCCGAUGCAAACUGCGAAUACCGGAGAAUGUUAUCACGGGAGACACACGGCGGGUGCUAACGUCCGUCGUGAAGAGGGAAACAACCCAGACCGCCAGCUAAGGUCCCAAAGUCAUGGUUAAGUGGGAAACGAUGUGGGAAGGCCCAGACAGCCAGGAUGUUGGCUUAGAAGCAGCCAUCAUUUAAAGAAAGCGUAAUAGCUCACUGGUCGAGUCGGCCUGCGCGGAAGAUGUAACGGGGCUAAACCAUGCACCGAAGCUGCGGCAGCGACGCUGAUGCGUUGUUGGGUAGGGGAGCGUUCUGUAAGCCUGUGAAGGUGUGCUGUGAGGCAUGCUGGAGGUAUCAGAAGUGCGAAUGCUGACAUAAGUAACGAUAAAGCGGGUGAAAAGCCCGCUCGCCGGAAGACCAAGGGUUCCUGUCCAACGUUAAUCGGGGCAGGGUGAGUCGACCCCUAAGGCGAGGCCGAAAGGCGUAGUCGAUGGGAAACAGGUUAAUAUUCCUGUACUUGGUGUUACUGCGAAGGGGGGACGGAGAAGGCUAUGUUGGCCGGGCGACGGUUGUCCCGGUUUAAGCGUGUAGGCUGGUUUUCCAGGCAAAUCCGGAAAACUAAGGCUGAGGCGUGAUGACGAGGCACUACGGUGCUGAAGCAACAAAUGCCCUGCUUCCAGGAAAAGCCUCUAAGCAUCAGGUAACAUCAAAUCGUACCCCAAACCGACACAGGUGGUCAGGUAGAGAAUACCAAGGCGCUUGAGAGAACUCGGGUGAAGGAACUAGGCAAAAUGGUGCCGUAACUUCGGGAGAAGGCACGCUGAUAUGUAGGUG
Molecule: ribosomal RNA, 1150 nt
Filed under: Escherichia coli
Lineage: Bacteria; Pseudomonadati; Pseudomonadota; Gammaproteobacteria; Enterobacterales; Enterobacteriaceae
Description: partial 23S ribosomal RNA
Rfam family: Bacterial large subunit ribosomal RNA
Source: RNAcentral